This 74-nucleotide transfer RNA is filed under the name Candidatus Nanoarchaeia archaeon. RNAcentral's name for it is "tRNA-Pro". It matches the Rfam family "tRNA". Rfam says of the family: Transfer RNA (tRNA) molecules are approximately 80 nucleotides in length. Lineage: Archaea; Nanobdellati; Nanobdellota; Candidatus Nanoarchaeia. RNAcentral also lists the same sequence under 1 other name. The record is from RNAcentral.
GGGGAGAUCGGCUAGCUUGGCUAGGCUUCCAGGUUUGGGCCCUGGUGACCUGGGUUCAAAUCCCAGUCUCCCCA